GUCGAAUAUAUUUAUUUUGGUCUUGAGGUCUUUUGAGAGAUUUUUUUGUUCUCUGCUUUUCGACAUUAAUAAAAUAUUAGUUUUUGAUCCGUGCGAUGCAUGGAUAAUAUAAUAAUAUAAAAUAACAAAAGUUAUUAUGUGAUGAUAAAAAAAAUUCUAAUUAAUAUUAUAUUUUUUUAACAAAUAAAAAAAUAUACUAUCAAUCUUAAUUAUAAUACAUAUUAAAGUACAAAAGUUAGAGAAAAAAAUUAUGGACCAAAAUAAAUACUCAAGUAAAAAGCAAAAUUCAACCCUAUUCUAUUAUCUAUGAAUUGAUGUGCAAAAUAAUUCACAUUUACAUAUUGAUGUGCAAAACAGAAUGAUAACUAAAAUUGAUAUAAAAAAUUACAAAUGACAUUAAUAUUUAAGAACUAACUCUAAGCUAUUCACCACCUCUGGACGAUGAAAUUCAGGUAUAAUAUACAGACAAAUCACUCUGACUUUGAUCUUCCAUUUGUCGCCAAGAGGAAUGAUGUCAUGUAUAGAAUCAUGUCCAAGUGCCACAUCCUGAGAACAAUAAGACAUCCAAGACAAAAAAAUUAAUACUUGCUUCGUAUUUAAAUAAUAAAAUGAAAAUAAUAUGUUUUAUUUUAAAGCAUCGACAUCUAAGAACUAAGAAAAUUACAUAAGGAGUGAUAGUAGGGAAAAAAAUUACGAAGUGAAAAUUACAGAAUGAGUGAUAGUAUGGAAGUGACAUGCAAUAUCUAUACUAUUUAUAAAGGCGUGAGGUUUGAAUUUUUUCCUCUUUCCAAAAAUGUCUAUCUUUUUUUACUAAUAUUUUUAUGUCCAGUAAUUUUCAACCAAUCAUUUCAAAUAAUUAACUAAGUAAUAAUUUAUUCCCAAAUAAAGAUAUUAAUUUUUUGCCAUUAGAUCUUAUCUAAUGAUUGAAAAUAAAAGUAUCUGUCACUUUUUGUGACAAUAAUACCCUCGCAUUUAUAUCAUACUUUCUAUCUAUGCGUUUUUCAAAUAUUUUCCUUCUCACGCGGAAUAUUCGUAUCCGCGAUGGAUCGACGGACGGCGAUGGAUCGCGACGCCCGUCGGGGGCGUGUUCGGCGGCGCAUCGUUCGAGGCCACUGGGGCGCUCACAACGGUCUCUGGAGGCGCGACGUACGAGAGAGGAAGGGCGCUAAUACCAAGAGUAGGGGAGAAGAUGUUGGGGUGCUAUGGUUACGAGAGAAUGGAAGGGUCUAUUGGGUUUAUGGGU
This 1243-nucleotide long non-coding RNA is filed under the name Ananas comosus (pineapple). RNAcentral's name for it is "long non-coding RNA (ACOM_LNC004750)". The record is from RNAcentral. Lineage: Eukaryota; Viridiplantae; Streptophyta; Magnoliopsida; Poales; Bromeliaceae.